UACAGAGGUGGCAAGCGUUGUUCGGAAUUACUGGGCGUAAAGGGCGCGUAGGCGGUCUUGUAAGUCUUGUGUGAAAUCCCUCGGCUUAACUGAGGAACUGCACGGGAUACUGCGAGACUUGAGUUCGGGAGAGGGAAGCGGAAUUCCGGGUGUAGCGGUGAAAUGCGUAGAUAUUCGGAAGAACACCGGUGGCGAAGGCGACCUUCUGGGCCGCAACAGACGCUGAGGCACGAAAGCCUGGGGAGCGAACGGG
This 253-nucleotide ribosomal RNA is filed under the name uncultured bacterium. RNAcentral's name for it is "partial 16S ribosomal RNA". It matches the Rfam family "Bacterial small subunit ribosomal RNA", at positions 524 to 776 of the family's 1533-position model. The record is from RNAcentral.